UCUUUAGAUUGACAUAAAACCUUUUAAAUGGAACGCAUAAUACAGAUACUUGCAUGUUUGGUAUUCAUUGUUUACGUUGGAAAUGAUUCUUCCUCUUGCUUCUCAUCACAGAUGCAAUCAGCAUUAAAUAGUGCACAUACAUAUGCACAACGUCUGAACAAAUAUCUAGACAAAUGUGACAGUGACAAUGAUUUAAAGAAACCAAUGAAAUUACUUGGACGACAUACAGAGCAAGUAAUAAAGGAUAUUGACCUGAUUAAUGUCAUUUACCACAAAAGACAAUGGACGAGAUUUAACAGCCACUGCUAUUACUUUUCAACUAGUGCCACUUUCUGGCAAAGUGCUAAGGCACAUUGUGAAAGAUAUCAAUCUAGUUUGGUGAAAAUUGACGAUCGAGAAGAGGAAAAAUGGCUUCAACGUAGUAUUGAAAACCAACGGCAAGUACACAGAACUGUAG
This is a long non-coding RNA of Mytilus californianus (California mussel), 457 nucleotides long. RefSeq lists it as uncharacterized. The transcript has 4 exons. NCBI's taxonomy places the organism in Eukaryota, Metazoa, Mollusca, Bivalvia, Mytilida, Mytilidae. The record is from RefSeq and is a predicted model, not a curated record.